Molecule: long non-coding RNA, 383 nt
Filed under: Phascolarctos cinereus (koala)
Lineage: Eukaryota; Metazoa; Chordata; Mammalia; Diprotodontia; Phascolarctidae
Description: lncRNA (ENSPCIG00000012742.2)
Source: RNAcentral
AUGGCAGUUUUCCUGGCUGGGCUGCUUGCCUGGACAUGCUACCUUCUUGUGAAAUACACCAGCAUUACAGCCAGGUGCCAAAAACUGACCAAGGAGCUCUCUAAGCCAAAAAGCAAAGGAAAGAAGUACAUAGCUGGAAACAAAAAUACCAAUGAUGAUAUGGUAACAAGAAACAGGGAUAAACAAGUUGAAGUGGUAACUUCCAGGCUGAUGAACUGUUCCUCUGACAAAGGAGAUGCAUGCCACCUUCUGUAGGAGAUCUGAAAUGCAGAGAACAGUGAGUGGAGCUGCAAACGACAGACAUGCUGGUGAGAGGCUCACCACCCGUUGGAAGGGGAGCUACCUGUUGGAAGGCAACACUAGUAGGGAGCAGUGACUCGUGA